AGUGAACGCUGGCGGUAGGCCUAACACAUGCAAGUCGAACGGCAGCACAGUAAGAGCGUGCGCUUACGGGGGGCGAAUGGCGGACGGGUGAGGAAUGCAUCGUGAUCUACUUUUUCGGGUGAGAUAACGUAGGUGAACUUACUCUAAGACAGCAUACGACCUACGGGGGAGGGCGGGGGAUCGUCUGACCGGUCGGGGUUGGAUUAGCCGAUGUCGGAUUAGCUAGUGGGCGGGGUAAAGGCCCACCAAGUCGACGAUCCGUAGCUGGUCUGAGAGGAUGAUAAGCCACCCUGGAACUGAGCCACGGUCCAGACUCCUAAGGGAGGCCGCAGUGGGGAAUAUUGGACAAUGGGCGCAAGCCUGAUCCAGCCAUCCCGAGUGGGUGACGACGGCCUUCGGGUUGUAAAGACCUUUUGUUGGGAAAGAACAGCAGCCGGUUAAUACCACGCUGUUCUGACGGUACCCAAAGAAUAAGCACCGGCUAACUUCGUG
Molecule: ribosomal RNA, 492 nt
Filed under: uncultured bacterium
Lineage: Bacteria
Description: partial 16S ribosomal RNA
Rfam family: Bacterial small subunit ribosomal RNA
Source: RNAcentral